GACGAACGCUGGCGGCGUGCUUAACACAUGCAAGUCGAACGGAAAGGCCAUGCUUUUGUGGGGCGCUCGAGUGGCGAACGGGUGAGUAACACGUGUGUAACCCGCCCUUGACUUUGGGAUAACUUCAGGAAACUGGGGCUAAUACAGGAUAGGAGCUCCUGCUGCAUGGUGGGGGAUGGAAAGUUUCGGCGGUUGGGGCUGGACUCGAGGCUUAUCAGCUUGUUGGGGGGGUAGUGGCUUACAAAGGCUUUGACGGCUAGCCGGCCUGGGAGAGUGACCGGCCACAUUGGGACUGAGGUACGGCCCAGAAUCCUACGGGCGGCAGUAGUGGGGAACAUUGCACAGUGGGGGGAAGCCAGUUGCAGCAACGCCGCGUGCGUGAUAAUGGCCUUCUGGUUGUAAACCGCUUUCGCCGGUGACGAAGCGUGAGUGACGGUAAUUGGUAAAGAAGCACCGGCUAACUACGUG
This 468-nucleotide ribosomal RNA is filed under the name uncultured bacterium. RNAcentral's name for it is "partial 16S ribosomal RNA". It matches the Rfam family "Bacterial small subunit ribosomal RNA", at positions 28 to 507 of the family's 1533-position model. The record is from RNAcentral.